GACGAACGCUGGCGGCGUGCCUAAUACAUGCAAGUAGAACGCUGGAGGAGGAGCUUGCUUCUCUGGAUGAGUUGCGAACGGGUGAGUAACGCGUAGGUAACCUGCCUGGUAGCGGGGGAUAACUAUUGGAAACGAUAGCUAAUACCGCAUAAUAUUGACUAUUGCAUGAUAGUCAGUUGAAAGGUGCAACUGCACCACUACCAGAUGGACCUGCGUUGUAUUAGCUAGUUGGUGGGGUAACGGCUCACCAAGGCGACGAUACAUAGCCGACCUGAGAGGGUGAUCGGCCACACUGGGACUGAGACACGGCCCAGACUCCUACGGGAGGCAGCAGUAGGGAAUCUUCGGCAAUGGACGGAAGUCUGACCGAGCAACGCCGCGUGAGUGAAGAAGGUUUUCGGAUCGUAAAGCUCGGUUGUAAGAGAAGAACGAGUGUGAGAGUGGAAAGCUCACACUGUGACGGUAUCUUACCAGAAAGAGACGGCUAACUACGUG
Molecule: ribosomal RNA, 495 nt
Filed under: uncultured bacterium
Lineage: Bacteria
Description: partial 16S ribosomal RNA
Rfam family: Bacterial small subunit ribosomal RNA
Source: RNAcentral